RNAcentral lists this ribosomal RNA (476 nucleotides) under uncultured bacterium. RNAcentral's name for it is "partial 16S ribosomal RNA". It matches the Rfam family "Bacterial small subunit ribosomal RNA", at positions 28 to 523 of the family's 1533-position model. The record is from RNAcentral.
GAUGAACGCUGGCGGCGUGCUUAACACAUGCAAGUCGAGCGAGUGAGUUCUUCGGAACGAUCUAGCGGCGGACGGGUGAGUAACACGUGGGCAACCUGCCUCAUAGAGGGGAAUAGCCUCCCGAAAGGGAGAUUAAUACCGCAUAACAUCGUUGAAGGGCAUCCUUCGAUGAUCAAAGGAGCAAUCCGCUAUGAGAUGGGCCCGCGGCGCAUUAGCUAGUUGGUGAGGUAACGGCUCACCAAGGCGACGAUGCGUAGCCGACCUGAGAGGGUGAUAGGCCACAUUGGGACUGAGACACGGCCCAGACUCCUACGGGAGGCAGCAGUGGGGAAUAUUGCACAAUGGGGGAAACCCUGAUGCAGCAACGCCGCGUGAGUGAUGACGGCCUUCGGGUUGUAAAGCUCUGUCUUUGGGGACGAUAAUGACGGUACCCAAGGAGGAAGUCACGGCUAACUACGUGCCAGCAGCAGCCGCAG